AGUGAACGCUGGCGGUAGGCCUAACACAUGCAAGUCGAACGGCAGCACAGUAAGAGCUUGCUCUUACGGGUGGCGAGUGGCGGACGGGUGAGGAAUACAUCGGAAUCUACUUUUUCGUGGGGGAUAACGUAGGGAAACUUACGCUAAUACCGCAUACGACCUACGGGUGAAAGCAGGGGAUCUUCGGACCUUGCGCGAUUGAAUGAGCCGAUGUCGGAUUAGCUAGUUGGCGGGGUAAAGGCCCACCAAGGCGACGAUCCGUAGCUGGUCUGAGAGGAUGAUCAGCCACACUGGAACUGAGACACGGUCCAGACUCCUACGGGAGGCAGCAGUGGGGAAUAUUGGACAAUGGGCGCAAGCCUGAUCCAGCCAUACCGCGUGGGUGAAGAGGGCCUUCGGGUUGUAAAGCCCUUUUGUUGGGAAAGAAAGGCAGCAGGUUAAUACCCCGCUGUUCUGACGGUACCCAAAGAAUAAGCACCGGCUAACUUCGUG
Molecule: ribosomal RNA, 492 nt
Filed under: uncultured bacterium
Lineage: Bacteria
Description: partial 16S ribosomal RNA
Rfam family: Bacterial small subunit ribosomal RNA
Source: RNAcentral